GUGAACGCUGGCGGUAGGCCUAACACAUGCAAGUCGAACGGCAGCACAGUAAGAGCUUGCUCUUACGGGUGGCGAGUGGCGGACGGGUGAGGAGUACAUCGGAAUCUACUUUUUCGUGGGGGAUAACGUAGUGAAACUUACGCUAAUACCGCAUACGACCUACGGGUGAAAGCAGGGGAUCUUCGGACCUUGCGCGAUUGAAUGAGCCGAUGUCGGAUUAGCUAGUUGGCGGGGUAAAGGCCCACCAAGGCGACGAUCCGUAGCUGGUCUGAGAGGAUGAUCAGCCACACUGGAACUGAGACACGGUCCAGACUCCUACGGGAGGCAGCAGUGGGGAAUAUUGGACAAUGGGCGCAAGCCUGAUCCAGCCAUACCGCGUGGGUGAAGAAGGCCUUCGGGUUGUAAAGCCCUUUUGUUGGGAAAGAAAAGCAGCAGGUUAAUACCCCGCUGUUCUGACGGUACCCAAAGAAUAAGCACCGGCUAACUUCGUG
RNAcentral lists this ribosomal RNA (491 nucleotides) under uncultured bacterium. Its description in RNAcentral is "partial 16S ribosomal RNA". It matches the Rfam family "Bacterial small subunit ribosomal RNA", at positions 29 to 507 of the family's 1533-position model. The record is from RNAcentral.